Pelobates cultripes (western spadefoot toad) is the source of this 659-nucleotide non-coding RNA. The record is from the annotation of a GenBank genome assembly. Lineage: Eukaryota; Metazoa; Chordata; Amphibia; Anura; Pelobatidae.
GUGUGUGAAAGUGCUGUGUGUGAUGGGUGUGAGAGUGCUGUGUGUGUGUGAGUGCUCUGUGAGAGUGCGCUGUGUGUGAUGGGGUGAGAGUGAUGGGUGUGAGAGUGCUGUGUGAGAGUGCUGUGUGUGAUGGGUGUGAGAGUGCUGUGUGAGAGUGCUGUGUGUGAUGGGUGUGAGAGUGCUGUGUGAGAGAGUGCUGUGUGUGAUGGGUGUGAGAGUGCUGUGUGAGAGAGUGCUGUGUGUAAUGUGUGUGAGAGUGCUGUGUGUGAUGGGUGAGAGUGCUGUGUGUGAGAGUGCUGUGUGUAAUGUGUGUGAGAGUGCUGUGUGUGAUGGGUGAGAGUGCUGUGUGAGAGUGCUGUGUGUGAUGGGUGUGAGAGUGCUGUGUGUGAUGGGUGAGAGUGCUGUGUGUGAGAGUGCUGUGUGUGAUGGGUGUGAGAGUGCUGUGGGAGAGUGCUGUGUGUGAUGGGUGUAAGAGUGCUGUGGGAGAGAGUGCUGUGUGUGAUGUGGGAGAGAGUGCUGUGUGUGAUGGGUGUGAGAGUGCUGUAUAAAUGUUAUUGUGUGUGUGUGUGUAGGGGGGGGUAAAUAAAAUAAAAAUAAAAAAAAGUCAUUAUUUCCCCCCCUCCCUUCUUACCUUUAGCAUGGGAGGGGGGGGGACCGGC